Long non-coding RNA from Hydra vulgaris (swiftwater hydra), 252 nucleotides. RefSeq lists it as uncharacterized. NCBI's taxonomy places the organism in Eukaryota, Metazoa, Cnidaria, Hydrozoa, Anthoathecata, Hydridae. The record is from RefSeq and is a predicted model, not a curated record.
UUAGAAGUAUUAUAUUUUUAUUAAUAUAGAAUUUAAAUCUAAGUUUUGAAAGUUUUAACCCUAAAUUUUUAGAAACUUGCAUUGUUCUGUCUGAGAGUGAGGUAUCUUUAAGUGAUAUUGAUUUUAAAUUAGUUGAAAAUAAUUCUGAAUCUAAAUUUGAAUGCAUAGAUACUACUGAUAUGGUUUCUUCAUAUCAGGAGAAUGAUUUUUGUGGUAAACAACCUUUUGAGGCUUGCGAAAAUAUUAAAAUGG